Molecule: long non-coding RNA, 268 nt
Organism: Pelmatolapia mariae (spotted tilapia)
Lineage: Eukaryota; Metazoa; Chordata; Actinopteri; Cichliformes; Cichlidae
Exons: 3
Source: RefSeq, a predicted model, not a curated record
AUUUUCGGCUGAAACUUACUUCGAAAGAAUGUGAACUACAAUUCUACAGUGGAAGCCGCUGCACAGAAUCUUAUUACUGUGCUCACUCAGAAUCUUUCUCAGGGACAGCACCAGGCAGCACAGGGAGUAAGGCAGGAACAGGGACCUCCCUCUGUAGAUCAAGAGAUGGCAAGAUCUUUCCCUGGUUUCUUUGGAAAAAAAAGUUUUCUUGGAAAACGAAAGAUGCAUAAUCCAAGGAUCCCUGUGACACCACCUUUUAAAGCAUGGA